RNAcentral lists this ribosomal RNA (292 nucleotides) under uncultured bacterium. Its description in RNAcentral is "partial 16S ribosomal RNA". It matches the Rfam family "Archaeal small subunit ribosomal RNA", at positions 455 to 747 of the family's 1478-position model. The record is from RNAcentral.
GUGCAGCCGCCGCGGUAAUACCGGCAGCUCGAGUGAUGUCCAAUAUUAUCGGGCCUAAAGCGUCCGUAGCUGGCCGCGCAAGUCCGUCGGGAAAUCCACCUGCCCAACAGGUGGGCGUCCGGCGGAAACUGUGUGGCUUGGAACCGGAAGGCUCAGAGGGUACGUCCGGGGUAGGAGUGAAAUCCCGUAAUCCCGGACGGACCACCAAUGGCGAAAGCACUUCGAGAAAACGGAUCCGACAGUGAGGGACGAAAACCAGGGUCUCCAACCGGAUUAGAAACCCCUGUAGUCC